CAAGUUAUAUAAAAGGAAUUAUAAAUUAUUUACAAUAAUUUAUUGGUUUGUGCAAUUCAACCUAACUUGA
RNAcentral lists this transfer RNA (70 nucleotides) under Pachyphlegyas modiglianii. RNAcentral describes it as "tRNA-Val". Lineage: Eukaryota; Metazoa; Arthropoda; Insecta; Hemiptera; Pachygronthidae. The record is from RNAcentral.